This 407-nucleotide ribosomal RNA is filed under the name uncultured bacterium. Its description in RNAcentral is "partial 16S ribosomal RNA". It matches the Rfam family "Bacterial small subunit ribosomal RNA", at positions 30 to 526 of the family's 1533-position model. The record is from RNAcentral.
AUUGAACGCUGGCGGCAGGCCUAACACAUGCAAGUCGAGCGGAGCGGCGGACGGGUGAGUAAUGCCUAGGAAUCUGCCUGGUAGUGGGGGAUAACGUCCGGAAACGGGCGCUAAUACCGCAUACUAUCAGAUGAGCCUAGGUCGGAUUAGCUAGUUGGUGGGGUAAAGGCCUACCAAGGCGACGAUCCGUAACUGGUCUGAGAGGAGGAUCAGUCACACGGUAACUGAGACACGGUCCAGACUCCUACGGGAGGAAGCAGUGGGGAAGAUUGGACAAUGGGCGAAAGCCUGAUGCAGCCAUGCCGCGUGUGUGAAGAAGGCCUUCGGGUUGUAAAGCACUUUCAGCGGGGAGGCGUUACCCACAGAAGAAGCACCGGCUAACUCCGUGCCAGCAGCCGCGGUAAUUC